GAGUUUGAUCCUGGCUCAGGAUGAACGCUAGCGGCAGGCCUAACACAUGCAAGUCGAACGGUAACAGAGAAGAGCUUGCUCUUUUGCUGACGAGUGGCGCACGGGUGCGUAACGCGUAUACAAUCUACCUUUUACAGGGGGAUAGCCUUUGGAAAUGAAGAUUAACACCCCAUAGUAAGUAAUUAUGGCAUCAUAGUAACUUUAAAAUUUCGGUGGUAAAAGAUGAGUAUGCGUUCUAUUAGCUAGAUGGUGUGGUAACGGCACACCAUGGCAACGAUAGAUAGGGGCCCUGAGAGGGGGAUCCCCCACACUGGUACUGAGACACGGACCAGACUCCUACGGGAGGCAGCAGUGAGGAAUAUUGGACAAUGGGCGAGAGCCUGAUCCAGCCAUGCCGCGUGCAGGAAGACUGCCCUAUGGGUUGUAAACUGCUUUUAUAUAGGAAGAAACCUUUCCACGUGUGGAAAGCUGACGGUACUAUAAGAAUAAGGAUCGGCUAACUCCGUGCCAGCAGCCGCGGUAAUACGGAGGAUCCAAGCGUUAUCCGGAAUCAUUGGGUUUAAAGGGUCCGUAGGUGGAUAAUUAAGUCAGAGGUGAAAGUUUGCAGCUCAACUGUAAAAUUGCCUUUGAUACUGGUUAUCUUGAAUUAUUGUGAAGUGGUUAGAAUAUGUAGUGUAGCGGUGAAAUGCAUAGAUAUUACAUAGAAUACCAAUUGCGAAGGCAGAUCACUAACAAUAUAUUGACACUGAUGGACGAAAGCGUGGGGAGCGAACAGGAUU
This 779-nucleotide ribosomal RNA is filed under the name uncultured bacterium. Its description in RNAcentral is "bacterial SSU rRNA". It matches the Rfam family "Bacterial small subunit ribosomal RNA", at positions 9 to 779 of the family's 1533-position model. The record is from RNAcentral.